GUGAAAUCGCCUUUUCUGAAGAGAAAUAAAUAUCCUGCAGGAGGGUUUGUCUCCAGGGGCUGGCCAUAUGGGUUAUGCUUUGAUAAGGCAAAGACAAGAAAUAAAAGACAUUAUAUUGGAGAAGUAAAAUUUGCAGAUGACAUGAUCACCAACAUAAAAAAAUCUGAUGGAAGCUUCCAAAAAAGCUGCUAGAACUGGUAACCAUCUUUCUGCCACCACAAGGUUUCCCUUUCUCUCAGUAUCAAACGACAUUUUCUUCAAGUUCUCACUGACAUCCUCCUCAAAGCUCUAUAGGCUUUUAGUAUCUCCAAGGCCCUGGGAAGAUCCCAUAUGUGUUUUUGGGCUCAGAUUCUCUUGUGCACCUGAGGUCAAGAGGAGCUAGAGCUGGGCCAGCAGGGGACAUUUCUCUCCUCAUCAUGGAGUCCCAGGGCCUCUCCAUGUGGUCUCUCCACAUAGGCUGGUUGGGACUUCCUCCCUGCAUGGCUAUCUUAGAGCAGCCAGACUGCUUGAGAAGCUGAAAGUUCAAGCGUGAGUGUUCCACCUCCCAAGGAAGAAGCUACACUAUCUUUUAUGAUCUUGGAAAUGACCUGUGGAUAGAAGUCACUUUACCAUGGUAUAUGGACCCAAACUAUCACAAGCUCCCCCAAAAUUCAAGGGGAGAAGACUGACUCCACCUCUUGAUGGGGCAGUGUUGAGCUUCUAGAAGACAUCUGGCAAUAAGACAUAUUUUUGUGGCCGUCUUUGCAAAAUACAAUCUGACAUAAUAAGGAAACCCCUCAUUGAUGAAAAUUUCUGUGUGCCAAAUUAAAAAAAAAAAAAACCUCUCAUACCUGAUAAUUAUUUAAUGCAUUUCCUCAUUUUGUCUUUCUUGAGACUUCCUUUGGGGAUUCAGGUAUCAAAACCAGUGGGAUGUUGGAAGUAGCUUACACGAGCUCCUAAAAGCCAAUUGUAAAAUUUUCAGGAAUUCUGCAUGCUGGUUGUUAA
Long non-coding RNA from Vulpes vulpes (red fox), 984 nucleotides. Lineage: Eukaryota; Metazoa; Chordata; Mammalia; Carnivora; Canidae. The record is from Ensembl.